GCGCGAAACCUCCGCAAUGCCCGAAAGGGUGACGGGGGGACCCCCAGUGCCGCUGGCCUUCGGGUCGGCGGCUUUUCGGGAGUCUAAAAAGCUCCCGGAAUAAGGGCUGGGUAAGUCGGGUGCCAGCCGCCGCGGUAAUACCCGCAGCCCAAGUGGUGGCCGCUAUUAUUGGGCCUAAAGCGCUCGUAGCCGGAUCGGCAAGUCCCCCGUGAAAUCGGCCAGCUGACUGGUCGGCGCGCGGGGGAUACUGCCGGUCUAGGGGCCGGGAGACGCCAGGGGUACUCCGGGGGUAGGGGUGAAAUCCUGUAAUCCCCGGGGGACCACCGGUGGCGAAGGCGCCUGGCGAGAACGGACCCGACGGUGAGGGGCGAAGGCUGGGGGAGCAAAGGGGAUUAGAUACCCCCGUAGUCCCAGCAGUAAAGGAUGCGGGCUAGGUGUCGGGCGCUCUUAGGGGGCGCUCGGUGCCGGAGGGAAGCCGUUAAGCCCGCCGCCUGGGAAGUACGGCCGCAAGGCUGAAACUUAA
RNAcentral lists this ribosomal RNA (523 nucleotides) under uncultured archaeon. RNAcentral describes it as "partial small subunit ribosomal RNA". It matches the Rfam family "Archaeal small subunit ribosomal RNA", at positions 339 to 859 of the family's 1478-position model. The record is from RNAcentral.